Phrynosoma platyrhinos (Desert horned lizard) is the source of this 72-nucleotide non-coding RNA. The record is from the annotation of a GenBank genome assembly. Lineage: Eukaryota; Metazoa; Chordata; Lepidosauria; Squamata; Phrynosomatidae.
GCCAGUGUGGUGUAGUGGUUUGAACGCUGGACUUCGACUCUGGAGAGCAGGGUUGGAUCCCCAGCUCAGCUA